UACGGGGGAUACGAGCGUUAUCCGGAUUUAUUGGGUUUAAAGGGCGCGUAGGCGGGAUGCCAAGUCAGCGGUAAAAAUGCGGUGCUCAACGCCGUCGAGCCGUUGAAACUGGCGUUCUUGAGUGGGCGAGAAGUAUGCGGAAUGCGUGGUGUAGCGGUGAAAUGCAUAGAUAUCACGCAGAACUCCGAUUGCGAAGGCAGCAUACCGGCGCCCUACUGACGCUGAGGCACGAAAGCGUGGGUAUCGAACAGG
This 252-nucleotide ribosomal RNA is filed under the name uncultured bacterium. Its description in RNAcentral is "partial 16S ribosomal RNA". It matches the Rfam family "Bacterial small subunit ribosomal RNA", at positions 524 to 776 of the family's 1533-position model. The record is from RNAcentral.